UAGUUACCUAUAUCCAAUAUCUUGAAAUGAAUCAGGUCAGGUCGUGAUUGAAGCAGCCUUAAGUUAUCUAAGAUAUGUGGGUAUGGGUACUUAAGA
RNAcentral lists this signal recognition particle RNA (96 nucleotides) under Acholeplasmataceae bacterium. Its description in RNAcentral is "signal recognition particle sRNA small type". It matches the Rfam family "Bacterial small signal recognition particle RNA". From Rfam's summary of the family: The signal recognition particle (SRP) is a universally conserved ribonucleoprotein involved in the co-translational targeting of proteins to membranes. Archaeal SRP consists of a 7S RNA and homologues of the eukaryotic SRP19 and SRP54 proteins. In most bacteria, the SRP consists of a 4.5S RNA and the Ffh protein (a homologue of the eukaryotic SRP54 protein). The record is from RNAcentral. Lineage: Bacteria; Bacillati; Mycoplasmatota; Mollicutes; Acholeplasmatales; Acholeplasmataceae.